UGGGGAAUCUUGCACAAUGGGCGCAAGCCUGAUGCAGCCAUGCCGCGUGUGUGAAGAAGGCCUUCGGGUUGUAAAGCACUUUCAGCGGGGAGGAAGGCGUUAAGGUUAAUAACCUUGGCGAUUGACGUUACCCGCAGAAGAAGCACCGGCUAACUCCGUGCCAGCAGCCGCGGUAAUACGGAGGGUGCAAGCGUUAAUCGGAAUUACUGGGCGUAAAGCGCACGCAGGCGGUCUGUCAAGUCGGAUGUGAAAUCCCCGGGCUCAACCUGGGAACUGCAUUGGAAACUGGCAGGCUAGAGUCUUGUAGAGGGGGGUAGAAUUACAAGUGUAGCGGUGAAAUGCGUAGAAAUCUGGAGGAAUACCGGUGGCGGAGGCGGCCCCCUGGACAAAGACUGACGCUCAGGUGCGAAAGCGUGGGGAGCAAACAGG
Molecule: ribosomal RNA, 429 nt
Filed under: Chloroflexota bacterium
Lineage: Bacteria; Bacillati; Chloroflexota
Description: Chloroflexi bacterium partial 16S ribosomal RNA
Rfam family: Bacterial small subunit ribosomal RNA
Source: RNAcentral